Molecule: ribosomal RNA, 497 nt
Filed under: uncultured bacterium
Lineage: Bacteria
Description: partial 16S ribosomal RNA
Rfam family: Bacterial small subunit ribosomal RNA
Source: RNAcentral
GAUGAACGCUGGCGGCGUGCCUAAUACAUGCAAGUCGAGCGAACAGACGAGGAGCUUGCUCCUCUGACGUUAGCGGCGGACGGGUGAGUAACACGUGGAUAACCUACCUAUAAGACUGGGAUAACUUCGGGAAACCGGAGCUAAUACCGGAUAAUAUAUUGAACCGCAUGGUUCAAUAGUGAAAGACGGUUUUGCUGUCACUUAUAGAUGGAUCCGCGCCGCAUUAGCUAGUUGGUAAGGUAACGGCUUACCAAGGCGACGAUGCGUAGCCGACCUGAGAGGGGGAACGGGCACAAUUGAAACGAGACAAGGUCCAGAAUCCUAAGGGAGACAACAAGAGGGAAACUUCCGCAAAGGGCGGAAGGCUGAAGGAGCAAAGGCGCGGGAGUGAUGAAGGGUUUCGGAUCGGAAAAAUCUGUUAUUAGGGAAGAACAAAUGUGUAAGUAACUAUGCACGUCUUGACGGUACCUAAUCAGAAAGCCACGGCUAACUACGUG